AUAACGCUUGGCUGGGAAUCUCAAGGAGAGGAGGGGGAGCAGGGGGGGAGGGGUCGUGAGUUCCGCAAGGACCACAAAGAAGUGGGGGGGGGAAGAAAUGGAAAGGAAGAGGAAUUCUUCCGGCUCAGGACUUGCGCUAUGACCCGGGAGCUCUGGGGAUCGAUGGGACAACCCGCCUCCCCCCCCCCCUCCCCCGAGCUCUACACGGAGGUCAUCAGCUCCCCCGAUCCCACUGGAGUUCGGGAUGGGGAUGGGGGGGGGUGAUCAGAUGGACUGAUGGGAUUCACGGAGGACCGGAAGGCUAAGCAAGGAGUGUGAGUGUUUGUGUGCGUGUGUGUGUUUCCUUGAUUUCAAGUUUAACAGGAGCAGCAGUGGGCCUACAUGGGGAUCAACGCUCACCCCUGACUCGGUGGGACAAGCAGGGGGCUGUCUGUUGCCUCGCCAUCGGAGGAGGAGGGGGGGGGGGGGAGAGAUGUGCCGAGAUGGUCUUGUUUGUGUGCGUGUGUCCGUGCUCGUCCGAGUUCCCUGCACAGAGCCCGGAUCUGUCCCAAAGAGCAUCUCCGUGAUUAAUCGGACUUCAGGAUGGAGGGAGAGAGAGAGAGGCGGCCGCCUUACUAUUUAACCUGGGCUGGUGACUGCAUUGCAUGGCCUUAAAAAAAAACCACUCGGGAAGCUGAGCGAGCCUCUUCAGCUGUGCAGGCUGAGACCGUCGCUCUUUUUAUAAAGCUGUUGUCCUUGACAGCAUGCUCCAUUGGGUUUAUUUAUUGUUUUUAGCCUGGCAUUGGACUCUCCCUAUGUUCUGUACCCCUCUGGACAGCGGAGACGUUGUCACACUCAAAAGAGCAUGAGGUAGAGACGCCGUUCCGGGUGUUUGACCAGGGCAGUUGGCUCUCACCUCUGCGGGCGGCGGCCUCGACGACAUCUCCCCGAAAUCCCUGUGAUGUUUGUGAAUUCAGGGUUACGCUUUGCAAAGGGCGAAAAUCUGAGUUGUUGUUUUUUUUUCCCAACUGGGGAGCUUUCCCUUUAGAAAAGUCCCCAUUCUUGUGGGGGAGGGGGCGGGGAUGUGAGGAGAGGGAGAUGCGUUGCCGGGAUGGAAUCGGGUCUCUCCCAGCGUGAUGUGGGGACGUCAGCAGAAGGGUAACUAGAGUGCCCCCAGAAGUGCAAGCCAGCCAGAGUGCCCAGGUAUGGAAUUUCAUCGGCUGGAUCGGAGAUGAUUUCCCUGUGCGCAUUCCCGACUGCGUGAGAACAGACACUCCCUUCCAUUUAAGUUUCAAAGAAGCAGCCAAAGUGCGUCACUGAUCCCUCCCCUGUGCCCUUGGAGCCAAGCCAGUCUGGUUAUUCCGUUCUGGAGCUGUACCCCUGAAACCUAUCCCCCCCACCACCCACCUUGGAGAGCCACGCUGAUCCAGUUUGAGGAGAUCACCUCCGUUCGGUGACCCGCUUGGCUGCGGUCUCCGGUCUCCGGUCGCUUCAGGGAGAGCCGAGGCGUGUUCCCCGGUCCGAUCUCCUGUGGCCCGGUGUCGUCCGGGCCGGUUUGUCCUUGCUCGCGGUGUCGAGGCCCCCCGAUUGCGAGAGGACGCAACCACCAAAGACGCGCUACCAAAUUCCCUCAUUUCCUGCAUUCCUCACCUCCUGCAUAGGGCCAGUGUCUCGUCUCCUCUCUCCUCUCACCCCUGUGGGAAAGAGCUCUGGGAUCUUCGGAGCACAUUCCCCUUCUUCCCUGGUUUCAAGUUCGGAUGGUUGCCCCCCCCCGAUCCGAGCGCAGUUUCGGCGUGGAGAGCCGCGGUACCUUUGAGUUGUUUUUUCGAGGGCCCUGUUCUGCGUCCGGGGUGCGAUUUCCCCCCCAAAGGGGCUCUUUUAUUCCCGUCGUCACGAAAGGAUCGAUCACCCAGGGAAGGGAGGGCAUCGGAACAGAGGAUCCCCAUGUCGGGGGGCUCCCAUCUGCUGUCCUUCCCGCCCCGGAACGUCAUGGGUUGCAGCUCGAGCGAAGCAGAGCCCGUGAGCCGAGGUCUGGGCGUCUCUCCCAGAUCACGUCACCCCCGCAUGACGAAAUCGGAGCCGGGGGGCGACUCCCAGCCGGGACAGGAAUCCCCCAACCCCUCCCCCCCCUGCCAGUGCCACUCGCUGGCUCAUGUGUCCGGCCUCCUGUCCCGGCUGAGACGUGGACCCAACCAAAACUCGAGGUGCGUCCAGCCCCCCUGUACGCUUCGUCUCCGGCAAUCCUGAUUCAAAUGCCGGAGACGUCUCCCAGCAGAACCAGAUAGAGGGGAUGGAUGGGGAGAUCGGGUAAAUGGCUGUUCCUGUUCUGGGGGGCUGCCCCCUGCUGCCGGAACAGGGGUACUGCAUUGCCUUGGCCAUCCUGCCGCCUUGGACAAAGUCACAUUGGGGGGAAUCCCAGCCAACAGCCGACUGCUGUGAACGAGGGGCGUGGGCCCCUCCAGUCCGAUCCUGUCCCGUGGACAUUUCCCACAAGGCCGCAAGGUGGGCGGCGUGGGUGUGCACCACAAAUGAUGGUCCAGCUGUCAUAUCUGGGGGGGGGGCAAAGAACUCGGGAUUGGGGUUCCCUGCUCUUGAGAAGGUUUCCCCCCCCCGAACGUGCCCGGUUCUCCGACCCUCCCCUCUCUGUGUUUCUGUGCUGGACUUCCUCGGUUCGAUUGAAUACGAGGAGGUGGAGGUUGUUGUUGUGGUGGUGGGGGGCACCCUAAUAGACGCAAAUGGGGGGGGUGGGGAACUAGAGUAAGUGCACUGUCCGUUGUGUUCAAGAAGUUGUGCGAUUGCUAGGUCAGUGACUGUGCGUCCGGGAACUGGAUUCCCAGUGCUGACUGUCCUCAGACACUCACACCUCCUAGUACACCUGCACAGCACUCUGGGAGGGGGUGUCUGCAGGAAAUUACAUGCGUGUCCAUUUUUCGCCACUUGGGGGGGGGGACUUGUGGUCUCAGCUCUGCUCGUCUUCUCUCUGUAUUCCGCAGCACAAUACUGCGUUUUGCACACUUUCUACGGUACAGCUGCACCCUGCAGUCUGGUGGUCUACCAUCGGCAUAACGCUCUGGUCCUGCAGUACUUCGCCACAGAGCGUGCUGCACCGGAAAUAUUCGACACCGGAGGCGGGAGGGCUGGUGGAUUUGUUAUUUGUUUGUAAUGAGGUGUAGGCUUGGACAAUCUUAGCUUGUAGGGCUAACUGGGUUUGUGCUAUUUAAUUAUUCAGUUCAACUAUUUAUUAAAUUGUUAAAACAAAAAGUGUUGCCUUUUGGUUUCCGAUUUUUCGGUUCUAUCCCCCACCCUCCAACAAAAGCUUUUUUUUUCUAUGUCAAAAGUUUUUAUAUGUAUUUUUUACACUAUUAAAGACGUCAGAAAUUGCACGA
This is a non-coding RNA of Lepisosteus oculatus (spotted gar), 3365 nucleotides long. NCBI's taxonomy places the organism in Eukaryota, Metazoa, Chordata, Actinopteri, Semionotiformes, Lepisosteidae. The record is from RefSeq and is a predicted model, not a curated record.